CAGGAUUGUAGUUUAAGUAAAACAUUUGCAUUGGAAGCUAAAAAUCAGGUAAGUACCUGCAUCUUGA
RNAcentral lists this transfer RNA (67 nucleotides) under Conus nobilis. Its description in RNAcentral is "tRNA-Pro". Lineage: Eukaryota; Metazoa; Mollusca; Gastropoda; Neogastropoda; Conidae. The record is from RNAcentral.